AGGUAGGUAGGAAGAAGAUUCUAAGGCCAACGGGAGAAGGGUUGUUAAGGAACUCGGCAAAUUGACCCCGUAACCUCGGGAGAAGGGGUGCUCCAGAGAUGGAGCCGCAGAGAAUCGGCCCAAGCAACUGUUUACCAAAAACACAGGUUUGUGCUAAAUCGAAAGAUGACGUAUACGAGCUGACGCCUGCCCGGUGCUGGAAGGUUAAGAGGAGAUGUGCAAGCAUUGAAUCGAAGCCCCAGUGAGCGGCGGCCGUAACUAUAACGGUCCUAAGGUAGCGAAAUUCCUUGUCAGGUAAGUUCUGACCCGCAUGAAAGGCGUAAUGAUUUGGGCACUGUCUCAACAGCCCGCCCGGCGAAAUUGUAGUACCGGUGAAGAUGCCGGUUACCCGCGACAAGACGGAAAGACCCCAUGGAGCUUUACUGUAGCCUAAUAUUGGGUUUCGAUGUUGCAUGCACAGGAUAGAUGGGACUCUGGGAAACCAGUGCUUUGGCGCUGGCGGAGAGGCCGUUGGGAUACCAUCCUUGCGAUAUUGGAAUUCUAACCUGCGGCUCUGAAUCGAGUCGGGGGACAUUGUUAGGUGGGCAGUUUGACUGGGGCGGUCGCCUCCUAAAAAGUAACGGAGGCGUUCAAAGGUUCGCUCGGCUUGAACGGAAAUCAAGCAAAAGAGUGCAAACGCAGAAGCGAGCCUAACUGCGAGACUGACGGGUCGAGCAGUAACGAAAGUUGGAGUUAGUGAUCCGGUGGUAUGUGAGUGGAAAUGCCAUCACUCAACGGAUAAAAGUUACCCUGGGGAUAACAGGCUGAUCUCCCCCAAGAGUCCACAUCGACGGGGAGGUUUGGCACCUCGAUGUCGGCUCAUCGCAUCCUGGGGCUGUAUUCGGUCCCAAGGGUUUGGCUGUUCGCCAAUUAAAGCGGUACGCGAGCUGGGUUCAGAACGUCGUGAGACAGUUCGGUCCCUAUCUGUCGUGGGCGCAGGAUAUCUGAUGGGAGCUGUCCCUAGUACGAGAGGACCGGGACGGACGUACCUCUGGCGCACCAGUUGUUCUGCCAAGAGCAUAGCUGGGCAACUACGUACGGAUCGGAUAAACGCUGAAAGCAUCUAAGCGUGAAGCCGACCCAAAGAUAAGAUAUCCCACUGUUUCAAACAGGUAAGAUCCCUUGAAGACUACAAGGUUGAUAGGCACGAUGUGUAAGUGGAGUGAUCCAUUCAGCAAGCGUGUACUAAUAGAUCGAGGGCUUGACC
This 1246-nucleotide ribosomal RNA is filed under the name metagenome. RNAcentral describes it as "bacterial LSU rRNA". It matches the Rfam family "Bacterial large subunit ribosomal RNA", at positions 1661 to 2925 of the family's 2925-position model. The record is from RNAcentral.